GGAUUGUAGCUCAGUGGUAGAGCGCUUGCCUCGUACAGAUGAGGCACUGUGUUUGAUCCUCAGCACCA
RNAcentral lists this transfer RNA (68 nucleotides) under Marmota monax (woodchuck). RNAcentral's name for it is "tRNA.Thr". Lineage: Eukaryota; Metazoa; Chordata; Mammalia; Rodentia; Sciuridae. The record is from RNAcentral.